GAUGAAUGCUGGCGGCGUGCUUAAUACAUGCAAGUCGAACGAAGAAUUAGAUAAGCUUGCUUAGAUAAUUCUUAGUGGCGAACGGGUGAGUAAUACGUAAGCAACCUGCCUGUUUGAAUGGGAUAACUGUGGGAAACUGCAGCUAAUACCAUAUAGCUUAUAAGCUGGCAUCAGCUUAUAACUAAAGACGCGUUUGCGUCGCAAACAGAUGGGCUUACGGUGUAUUAGCUAGUUGGUGAGGUAACUGCUCACCAAGCGAUGAUACAUAGCGGCCUGAGAGGGUGAACGGCACAUUGGGACUGAGACACGGCCCAGACUCCUACGGGAGGCAGCAGUAGGAAUUUUCGGCAAUGGGGGAAACCCUGACCGAGCAACGCCGCGUGAGUGAUGAAGGCCUUUGGG
This 402-nucleotide ribosomal RNA is filed under the name uncultured bacterium. RNAcentral's name for it is "bacterial SSU rRNA". It matches the Rfam family "Bacterial small subunit ribosomal RNA", at positions 28 to 422 of the family's 1533-position model. The record is from RNAcentral.